AUGCGCCCGGCCUCGAAGCACUGCUCGACGCACUCGCCUGGCGCUGCCCUCCCCGCCGGUCGCCGGUCGCCGUCAUUGCCGCCGGCCGCCGGUCACCGUGUCGCUACUGGUCCUCGUCACGGUGGAAGCAAAAAAUAUAGUUGGAUCCAACAAAAACAAAACAUGGUGAAAGCAAACAUUGGAGCGGCUCGCCGCGGGUCAGAGUGCCUAGCAACAAAAAUCGGAAGCAGCAAAAAUCUUCACCACGGAUCAAACUUCAGUGGUCAGUUGAAGCAAAAUAAAAAACGCUUCCAGCAAAAACAACAUGAGCAUUUGAGAGCUCUGCAAUCAUUGAAGCACAAAAUUAUCUCAGUUCCAGCAAAAGAAAUACAUCGUUCCUGCAAAAACAAAAAAUUGGUUCGGCAAAACGAAAACGCAUCCGCACAAAUGGCCACCCCUCUUGCAGCUCCCCCAGUAGUCGGUUGCAGCUCCGACGUGCACGGUUGCAGCUCCCGACAUCGAACGGCGUUGGAUGCAACACUCUUCACCGCUGGAUGCAGCUUCCUCUGGCGAGGCAUCGACCUUGUAGCACAUACACCAGUUGGUUGCACCAAAACGGGGCACCGGUUCCAGCAAACAACGAAGAUGUUCAUCAAAAUCGAAUGGGGAUGGUAG
RNAcentral lists this ribosomal RNA (654 nucleotides) under Triticum aestivum (bread wheat). RNAcentral's name for it is "partial small subunit ribosomal RNA". Lineage: Eukaryota; Viridiplantae; Streptophyta; Magnoliopsida; Poales; Poaceae. The record is from RNAcentral.